RNAcentral lists this long non-coding RNA (389 nucleotides) under Vigna radiata. Its description in RNAcentral is "long non-coding RNA (VRAD_LNC013282)". The record is from RNAcentral. Lineage: Eukaryota; Viridiplantae; Streptophyta; Magnoliopsida; Fabales; Fabaceae.
ACAAGUCACUUAGAAUAAAAUUGCCAUUCAUCUAAAACAACCAAAAUCCUUACAUGCAAAUGCCAUCAAAAGGACUUUUCCAAGGCUUGUAAUGAGGCUGGGCUAACAAGAAGAAUUGGUUUUUCUGGAAUGCAAAGUCCUUGAGUUAAGAGAGCUAUCAUAGUAUUCAACAUUGAAGCACGACUCUCUUCCUCAACAAUCUCACUUAUUUCCAACUUUUUCCCUUUUCUUUUGUAUUGAGCCCAUCUUCAUGCUUUUCUUCUUUUCUUUUCUUUUUCUCGUGUAUUUUUCUUUCACAACAUUUGAGCUCAAUGCUUUUUCAAUUGCCUUUCAGUUUCUCCCAUGCAACCCCAAACUUGAACAUUUUCAUCACAUACAAUUAAGCUCAU